Long non-coding RNA from Lolium rigidum, 1651 nucleotides. RefSeq lists it as uncharacterized. Lineage: Eukaryota; Viridiplantae; Streptophyta; Magnoliopsida; Poales; Poaceae. The transcript has 3 exons. The record is from RefSeq and is a predicted model, not a curated record.
AAUAAUGUGAGUUUCCCGUUUUGCCCCUUAUCGCGUCGCGCGCGGACGCCUCGUUCCAACUCGCUACCUCUCUCACGGAUACGCUCCUCGCUCCUGCUCUCCUCCCUUCGCUCCUCCAGGUCGCCGCGGCCACCUCCGGCGUCGUCUUCCUCUCGCGCCACAGCGCCGCCGGCAUCUUCCUAAACUUUCCCCAGCGCCAUCUCGCUCCCCGCCACCCUGCAUCCUCUCGGAUCUCGCCUGCAACGACGCAAAUGCUCGGAGGUCAAAGAUCGCAUUUUCACGAGCCGGCGACGAGCUGCUGGGAGAGGACGCGCUAGAUUUGCGUGCGCGAUUUGCUGCUGGAAAAGGGGGCGCUGGAUCUGCGUGCUCCGGCGACGAUUUGGCUGGGUUCGCCGAUCACCGUGAGAGAUGGCUGGGUUUGCGGAUCACCGUGAGAGAUGGCGGUCUGGAUUGCUCAUGCCACCGCCGGUGGCCACCGACGUCGGCCGCUCCCAAUCCUCCACGGACGGUUGCUACUCUUGCUCCACUCUCCCCGCCUCCGCCUCGAUUGACUUCGGGAUGUUUGAUAAGCACGGGUUCAUCUCCCCCAUUGGGGAAUCUGCGCCUGCUGCCACUGGGGAACCGUCCUCCUCGCGCAGGACGGCGACUCCUUCGAUAAGAUUGCGCCGCCAGGAGAAGGUACUGCUGCUGCCAAUGCUACUAGCCCUGGCGCCACUCCUAUCCCUACCCCGUACUAGUCUGCUCAUUCGGCUGCCGUGACGAAGCCUGAGCCUUCUUCCACAAGCAAACGGCGGCGUGAAGCCCAAGUGCACAACCUCUCGGAGAUGAGGAGGAGGGACAGGAUCAACGAGAAGAUGAGGGCUCUGCAAGAACUCAUUCCCCACUGCAACAAAGGCCGGAGGAGAAGAGCACAACCACAACGAUCUGCGUAGGGCUGGAGGAGAAGAACACAUCGAAGUAGCAAAGAUUGGUAUCUCGGAGAGAUACCGAAAACAUCGAUCCAUCAACCACGCCGGAGGAGCCGUCCGUGUGAUGAAUUCGGGGAGACGGAAUGGCGCAGAAGUCAUCCGAUUUGGCCCAGAGAACUCACAUCCAUGGCCGUCCACAAGGUCUGCAGCCACGGGCGUAUCAAGCUGAGGAGGUGCAGUGACGGUGUGGCCUGGAUGCCCAAUGGAGCUCGUGAAGCAACUGACCAUUCUUCGUGGAGGCCGCGUUGGAGGCGGGAGCAGCAACACGCGGAAAAGCGGGCGACAACCCAGACAUGGUCUCGAGCACCAUCUGCAUCAGCCGGGCAGAGGAAGGACGCUGGGCCAAUCAGCCCUCAUCGAGGAAAGCGCUGCACCAUCUCCCGUCCAACGGCAGAGUCGGACCUCCGACGGGCGAGAAUCCCAGCAGCAGCAGCAAGCCAGCAACUAAUGCAGCGGCGGGAGUAAAGCAGCUGGCGAGGAUGCGCAUCCAGCAUGGCCUCAUCGACACCCCGAAGCCCGGGAUCCUCGACGCAGCCGGCGGACACAGGAGGUGUUGAAAGAAUGGGUGGAACCGGGACUGAAGGCCGAGCGCCGGCGUUCUGGCAGCAGGCGUGGAGAGAUGGUGCGACGGGGCGCCCGGAUCCGGUCACGGCGACCGCAGAGAAGCUUGAAUGGAGGAUAUC